This is a non-coding RNA of Oryza glaberrima (African rice), 232 nucleotides long. The record is from Rfam. NCBI's taxonomy places the organism in Eukaryota, Viridiplantae, Streptophyta, Magnoliopsida, Poales, Poaceae.
UUUAAAUGCUAUCAUAAGAUUCCGUGUUCCAUUUUGAUCGUUCGUCUUAUUUAAAAUUUUUUUAUAAUUAGUAUUUUUGUAAAAAAAUUUUAUAAUUAGUAUUUUUGUUGUUAUGAGAUGAUAAAAUAUGAAUAGUACUUUACUCGCGACUUAUAUUUUUAAAUUUUUUAAAAAAGUUUUAAAUAAAAUGGACGAUCAAAGUUGAACGCUGAAAACCAUGGCGGCACGGACG